Molecule: ribosomal RNA, 799 nt
Filed under: uncultured Symbiobacterium sp.
Lineage: Bacteria; Bacillati; Bacillota; Clostridia; Eubacteriales; Symbiobacteriaceae
Description: bacterial SSU rRNA
Rfam family: Bacterial small subunit ribosomal RNA
Source: RNAcentral
GACGAACGCAGGCGGUGUGCUUAAGACAUGCAAGUCGUGCGGUCCCGCAAGGGACAGCGGCGGACGGGUGAGUAACACGUGGAUAACCUGCCUGACUCCCCGGGAUAACAGUUCGAAAGGGCUGCUAAUACCGGGUAAGCUCACGGAGUCGCAUGGCUCUGGGAGAAAAGGUCCUGCAAGGGACUGGGGUGAGAGGGGUCCGCGGUCCAUUAGCUAGUUGGAGGGGUAACGGCCCACCAAGGCGACGAUGGAUAGCCGGCCUGAGAGGGCGACCGGCCACACUGGGACUGAGACACGGCCCAGACUCCUACGGGAGGCAGCAGUCGGGAAUUUUGGGCAAUGGCCGAAAGGGCUGACCCAGCAACACCGCGUGAGUGAAGAAGGCCUUCGGGUUGUAAAGCUCUGUUACCCGUGAAGAACGGUACGUCGAGGAAAUGCGAUGUACUUGACGGUAGCGGGGGAGGAAGCUCCGGCUAACUACGUGCCAGCAGCCGCGGUAAUACGUAGGGAGCGAGCGUUGUCCGGAUUUAUUGGGCGUAAAGGGCGUGUAGGCGGCUUGUUAAGUCUGGAGUGAAAAUCCGGGGCUCAACCCCGGAACUGCUUCGGAUACCGAUGAGCUUGAGUACUCUAGAGGGCAGUGGAAUUCCCGGUGUAGCAGUGAAAUGCGUAGAGAUCGGGAGGAACACCAGUGGCGAAAGGCGACUGCCUGGGGAGAAACUGACGCUGAGGCGCGAAAGCUGGGGGAGCAAACGGGAUUAGAUACCCCGGUAGUCCCAGCCGUAAACGAUGAGUGCUAGUG